This 947-nucleotide non-coding RNA is filed under the name Trigonolampa miriceps (threelight dragonfish). RNAcentral's name for it is "12S rRNA". It matches the Rfam family "Bacterial small subunit ribosomal RNA". The record is from RNAcentral. Lineage: Eukaryota; Metazoa; Chordata; Actinopteri; Stomiiformes; Stomiidae.
CAAAGGCUUGGUCCUGACUUUACUGUCAGCUUUAACUGGAUUUACACAUGCAAGUCUCCGCAUCCCUGUGAGAAUGCCCUUAAUUCCCCGCCCGGGGACAAGGAGCUGGCAUCAGGCACGCCCCGCAGCCCAAGACGCCUUGUUAAGCCACACCCCCAAGGGAACUCAGCAGUGAUAAAUAUUAAGCCAUAAGUGAAAACUUGACUUAGUUAAAGUUAAAGCAGGGCCGGUAAAACUCGUGCCAGCCACCGCGGUUAUACGAGAGGCCCAAGUUGACAGAUACCGGCGUAAAGGGUGGUCAAGGGUAAAAACAACUAAAGCCGAACAUCCCCCUAGCUGUUAUACGCACUCGGAGGAAUGAAGCCCCACCACGAAAGUGGCUUUAUCUCACCUGAACCCACGAUAUCUAAGAAACAAACUGGGAUUAGAUACCCCACUAUGCUUAGCCGUAAACCUUGAUAUUAAGAUACAACUAAUAUUCGCCAGGGGACUACAAGCACCAGCUUUAAACCCAAAGGACUUGGCGGUACCUCAGACCCCCCUAGAGGAGCCUGUUCUAGAACCGAUAACCCCCGUUCAACCUCACCACCCCUUGUUUACCCCGCCUAUAUACCGCCGUCGUCAGCUUACCCUGUAAAGGCCCCAUAGUAAGCAAAAUGGGCACAGCCCAAAACGUCAGGUCGAGGUGUAGCGUAUGAGGUGGGAAGAAAUGGGCUACAUUUCCUAAAGUAGGAUACCACUAAUGAUGUUAUGAAACUUAACACCUGAAGGUGGAUUUAGCAGUAAGAAGAAACUAGAGAGUUCUUCUGAAGCCGGCUCUGAGGUGCGUACACACCGCCCGUCACUCUCCCCAAGUUCACAUUCUUCCUGUAACUAAAAAAAUAAUCGAAUAAAGGGGAGGCAAGUCGUAACAUGGUAAGUGUACUGGAAAGUGCACUUGGACUAAC